This 270-nucleotide long non-coding RNA is filed under the name Elaeis guineensis (African oil palm). Its description in RNAcentral is "long non-coding RNA (EGUI_LNC024455)". Lineage: Eukaryota; Viridiplantae; Streptophyta; Magnoliopsida; Arecales; Arecaceae. The record is from RNAcentral.
UGGCAGAAUGUGGAAUGUUUGCCAUGCAGAUCUCUGAAAUAUGCGGUCCUCGGCUACUACUAAGGAAUGGAACAUGUUCUCCAUCAACUCAAACACACGGUCCUCGACUACGAUCAAGGAAUGAAACGUGUUCUCCAUCAACUCAAAUAUGCGAUCCUCGGCUAUGAUGGAAGAACGGAAUAUGUUCUCCAUCAACUCAAACAUGCAAUCCUCGACCAUGAUCGAUGAGAGGAAUAUGUUCUCCAUUAACUCAAACACAUGAUCCUCAGC